RNAcentral lists this ribosomal RNA (453 nucleotides) under uncultured bacterium. Its description in RNAcentral is "bacterial SSU rRNA". It matches the Rfam family "Bacterial small subunit ribosomal RNA", at positions 340 to 786 of the family's 1533-position model. The record is from RNAcentral.
UACGGAAGGCAGCAGGGGGGAAUAUUGCACAAUGGGCGCAAGCCUGAUGCAGCCAUGCCGCGUGUAUGAAGAAGGCCUUCGGGUUGUAAAGUACUUUCAGUCGUGAGGAAGGUGUUAAGGUUAAUAACCUUAGCAAUUGACGUUAGCGACAGAAGAAGCACCGGCUAACUCCGUGCCAGCAGCCGCGGUAAUACGGAGGGUGCGAGCGUUAAUCGGAAUUACUGGGCGUAAAGGGCACGCAGGCGGUUAAUUAAGUUGGAUGUGAAAUCCCCCGGGCUUAACCUGGGAAUGGCAUUCAAGCUGGUUAGCUAGAGUCUUGUAGAGGGGGUAGAAUUCCAUGUGUAGCGGUGAAAUGCGUAGAGAUGUGGAGGAAUACCGGUGGCGAAGGCGGCCCCUGGACAAAGACUGACGCUCAUGUGCGAAAGCGUGGGGAGCAAACAGGGAUUAGAUACC